This 465-nucleotide ribosomal RNA is filed under the name Vreelandella stevensii. Its description in RNAcentral is "partial 16S ribosomal RNA". It matches the Rfam family "Bacterial small subunit ribosomal RNA", at positions 338 to 795 of the family's 1533-position model. The record is from RNAcentral. Lineage: Bacteria; Pseudomonadati; Pseudomonadota; Gammaproteobacteria; Oceanospirillales; Halomonadaceae.
CCUACGGGGGGCAGCAGUGGGGAAUAUUGGACAAUGGGGGGAACCCUGAUCCAGCCAUGCCGCGUGUGUGAAGAAGGCCCUCGGGUUGUAAAGCACUUUCAGUGAGGAAGAACGCCUGGUGGUUAAUACCCAUCAGGAAAGACAUCACUCACAGAAGAAGCACCGGCUAACUCCGUGCCAGCAGCCGCGGUAAUACGGAGGGUGCGAGCGUUAAUCGGAAUUACUGGGCGUAAAGCGCGCGUAGGUGGCUUGAUAAGCCGGUUGUGAAAGCCCCGGGCUCAACCUGGGAACGGCAUCCGGAACUGUCAAGCUAGAGUGCAGGAGAGGAAGGUAGAAUUCCCGGUGUAGCGGUGAAAUGCGUAGAGAUCGGGAGGAAUACCAGUGGCGAAGGCUGCCUUCUGGACUGACACUGACACUGAGGUGCGAAAGCGUGGGUAGCAAACAGGAUUAGAUACCCUAGUAGUC